UAGCGCAGUUCUAAGUUAUGCUGACUGAGUUUCUCAGACUCAACUCUUGGGAUCUUGUGUCCUGGGUUGCAAUCUGUGUCAGUUACGCAUGUGCUGCCGCUCUUUACGGCAGUACAAACUGAUCAUCUU
This 129-nucleotide unclassified non-coding RNA is filed under the name Paracalanus denudatus. RNAcentral describes it as "partial ITS2". The record is from RNAcentral. Lineage: Eukaryota; Metazoa; Arthropoda; Copepoda; Calanoida; Paracalanidae.